Molecule: transfer RNA, 73 nt
Filed under: Canis lupus familiaris (dog)
Lineage: Eukaryota; Metazoa; Chordata; Mammalia; Carnivora; Canidae
Also listed under: 1 other name
Rfam family: tRNA
About the family: Transfer RNA (tRNA) molecules are approximately 80 nucleotides in length. Their secondary structure includes four short double-helical elements and three loops (D, anti-codon, and T loops).
Source: Rfam by way of RNAcentral
ACAUGUUUGGCUCAGUCAGGAGAGCAUGUGACUCUUGAUCUCGGGAUUGUGGGUUCAAACCCCACAUUAAGCA